Molecule: small nuclear RNA, 107 nt
Organism: Protopterus annectens (West African lungfish)
Lineage: Eukaryota; Metazoa; Chordata; Ceratodontiformes; Protopteridae
Source: RefSeq, a predicted model, not a curated record
GUGUUUGUUUCAGCAGCACAUAAACUAAAACUGGAAGAAUAGAAAGAAGAUUAAUAUGGCCCCUGAGCAAGUAUGACAUGCAAAUCCAUGAAUUGUUCCAUAUUUUU